This 253-nucleotide ribosomal RNA is filed under the name uncultured bacterium. RNAcentral describes it as "partial 16S ribosomal RNA". It matches the Rfam family "Bacterial small subunit ribosomal RNA", at positions 524 to 776 of the family's 1533-position model. The record is from RNAcentral.
GACAGAGGUGCCGAGCGUUAGGCGGAAUCACUGGGCUUAAAGCGUGUGUAGGUGGAUGCCUAAGUACCUUGUGAAAUCCCACGGCUUAACCGUGGAACUGCUUGGUAUACUGGGUGUCUUGAGCCAGCUAGGGGCUACCGGAACAAAUGGUGGAGCGGUGAAAUGCGUAGAUAUCAUUUGGAACGCCAAUGGUGAAAACAGGUAGCUGGGGCUGUACUGACACUGAGACACGAAAGCCAGGGGAGCGAACGGG